GAUGUCGGCUCAUCACAUCCUGGGGCUGAAGUAGGUCCCAAGGGUAUGGCUGUUCGCCAUUUAAAGUGGUACGCGAGCUGGGUUUAGAACGUCGUGAGACAGUUCGGUCCCUAUCUGCCGUGGGCGUUGGAUGAUUUAUUGGGGCUGCUCCUAGUACGAGAGGACCGGAGUGGACGCAUCACUGGUGUUCCAGUUGUCUCGCCAGAGGCAUUGCUGGGUAGCUAAAUGCGGAAGAGAUAAGUGCUGAAAGCAUCUAAGCACGAAACUUGCCAAGAGAUGAGUCAUCCCUGACUUUAAGUCAGUAAGGGUUGUUGUAGACUACGACGUAGAUAGGUCAGGUGUGUAAGUGUAGUGAUACAUUGAGCUAACAGAUACUAAUUGCCCGAGAGGCUUAACUAUACAACGCUCAAG
Molecule: ribosomal RNA, 411 nt
Filed under: Haemophilus influenzae
Lineage: Bacteria; Pseudomonadati; Pseudomonadota; Gammaproteobacteria; Pasteurellales; Pasteurellaceae
Description: bacterial LSU rRNA
Rfam family: Bacterial large subunit ribosomal RNA
Source: RNAcentral